Molecule: ribosomal RNA, 565 nt
Filed under: uncultured bacterium
Lineage: Bacteria
Description: partial 16S ribosomal RNA
Rfam family: Bacterial small subunit ribosomal RNA
Source: RNAcentral
UGGGGAAUAUUGUACAAUGGGCGCAAGCCUGAUGCAGCCAUGCCGCGUGUGUGAAGAAGGCCUUCGGGUUGUAAAGCACUUUCAGCGAGGAGGAAGGUGGUGAGCUUAAUACGCUCAUCAAUUGACGUUACUCGCAGAAGAAGCACCGGCUAACUCCGUGCCAGCAGCCGCGGUAAUACGGAGGGUGCAAGCGUUAAUCGGAAUUACUGGGCGUAAAGCGCACGCAGGCGGUUUGUUAAGUCAGAUGUGAAAUCCCCGGGCUCAACCUGGGAACUGCAUUUGAAACUGGCAAGCUAGAGUCUCGUAGAGGGGGGUAGAAUUCCAGGUGUAGCGGUGAAAUGCGUAGAGAUCUGGAGGAAUACCGGUGGCGAAGGCGGCCCCCUGGACGAAGACUGACGCUCAGGUGCGAAAGCGUGGGGAGCAAACAGGGUUAGAUACCCUGGUAGUCCACGCUGUAAACGAUGUCGUUUUGGAGGUUGUGCCCUUGAGGCGUGGCUUCCGGAGCUAACGCGUUAAAUCGACCGCCUGGGGAGUACGGCCGCAAGGUUAAAACUCAAAUGAAUUG